CAACUCGUCCAGCCGAGCCUGUAAAAGAGGGAAAGGGGCGAAAGGCAGAUUUGCACUCUGCUUGACCGGAGAGUCAGGCACAGGCACUGUCCUAAAUGGUUCUGAUCCCCCUUUCCUGCCGCGAGCCGCUUCAUUCCAUUAAAAAAAAAAAAAAAAAGACUAAGCCCCUCUACUGCCCCGACACAGCGACCUUGCGACGACUGCUGAGGUCCCAAACACCUGGGCCACAGCGACAGAAAUCCCCACUCUCCUCUGCCCAGACUAAUUCCCGAAAGAGCGAUCCCGAAUCCAGCCAUUUUCUACCGAGAGCAGAAGGAAAUUGCUAACUAAGUAACUAACCAAAUACGCGACUUGUAAAGAUUUGGGGGCGCCCGAAGCCAUCAAGGUCUCCCCCAACCCCCUCGGCCUUCCUAAUCCCUCAGAAUGUUCCCGAGUCCUUUUCCCUCAGUACAUUGCGGCUGUUUACACACUGAAAUCGAAAUCCAGAGAGACGUGUUUACCUUAUUAAAAAGACUUCUCUAUUGAGCUAGGGCGGUGGGCCAAUACUCAGACAGGCCGGGCAGCUCUGGCCCUGGUCGCAAUCCGGAGGACUAAAUGAUCGAACUCUGGCUUUCAGAACAUUUGAAUAAACUGAUAGAUCUAUAAAGGUCGAAAUCUGUGCCCUGGGAGGGCUAGCCCAGCCCCAAAUCUGACGAGCUCAUGUCCUGGGUAGAGUUCUGGGAGUUAGCCCCAGAAAUUCUGGCUAUCUAACCCCUUGCGUGCCCCAGACGGCGAAUAAAUGAAUGAAUGCUUCUCAGGCUGACUUUCCAAGAGGUGUUGCCCCUAGAUCUUUGACUUCCCUGCAGAUGUAUCCAUCUCUUAAAAAAAAAAAAAAAAAAAAAAAAAAAAAAACCAACAACAACCAACAAAAACGCAAUAACGUCCCAGUGGCAUUUUUAUGGUGGUGUUUGUAAAGCCUUCUGGAUUAGCUUUAAAACCCUGAAUUCUAUGGUGGCUGGAGAAAGUCUAUUUAUACCAUCUUGCUGCAUUUCCGGAGGCUGCUUAUAAGAUCAGUAAAACCCUAGCGAAUGUAUGCAAGUCUCAGCAAUAUCCUGGUGGUGUCAGCGAUAUCAGUGGCAGUAGCAAUUACCUUCAGUGAUCAAGCAGGAACUUUGUUAAUCUCUUUCUAUCCCCCCUCCAUUUUCCUAUCUCUCUUUUCAUCCUCCUCAUCUGGAGAGAUCUGGUGGGUCCAUAUGGAUGUUUACAAACAUCGUAAGUUGUAUUUAUAUGGAUAUAUAGAGAUAUACAUAUAUUUUAUAUAUUGUGUGCAGCCGCAUUUUAUUUUUUUAUGGGACGGAGCUAAAGUCCUCGUGCCUAUUUCCAGAACAAAACCUCUCCCUGGAAAGUUUCACCAAAAAUAAAUAGGGACUGGGAUGGAGCAGCCAAAAUAGGAUCUUUUCCCCCACUUAUUUUAGAAUGGAGGCCAAAUGAAAACAAUGGGGAGAGAGAAAGAAUCUGGGGUUUAAAACUCCGUGGGAGAAAGUCCUGAUUUGAGGUAGGGCGUUUGCAGUGAAAGCUUUAAAUAAGGUAUUUGUUGGAAUAUUGUGAAAAGCAGAGGCGCGGUGUGACUUGGCUAUCUCUGGAAACAUUUCCAUUUUAUACAAGCCUUUUCAAUCCCUCCAGCACCCUCCACUCCUCGGGGUGAGAGUUGGGAUUUGGGGUGAAUUGUCAUUGUUUUCGUGGUUUGGCCUAAAUUCUCGAUAGGAUUUUCCCAAGACCAAGUGAAAUUCUCAUUUCUCGGGGUAAAAGGGAAAAACGUUAUGUCCUUGUUCCCGUUGUGACUAAACCGGAAAAAAAAAAAAAUUUUUUUUAAUACCAGAACUAAAACAAAAUUGAAACCCAGCGUAUUCUAGAAGGCUGAUGUGUGAUAGGUUGGCAGGCGACCAAUUUGUUUCACCAUCCAGCUUUAGGUGUUUUUCAUGAAUCAAAACCAAUACACACGCACACCAGGAAACUGGUGUAACCCACACAACAAGCAAGCGGGGUUAGACCACAGCACGAGGCAGACCCCAGGGGCUCCCUCGGAGGCCAGACGCCUCCCCGGGCUACCUCUCAACUCUCGCAAAGCAAUUGAGGGAAGAGGGAGAGAAAGGCCACUUACCUCGAAAAUGCUCUUCAAAAGGGGAGAGGCUAUCCCUGGGAUCUGCCCGGGGCUCCAAGGACCCCAGACUCUGCCCGCUAUUCCUCGGUCUCGCCCGAUGAAAUAGUGACAACUCCAGCGAGUCCACAGUCAGGCAGGGCCACGGCCACGCCACGCAGUCUCCUUCCCAUCAAUAGGAGCAAUAAGUCAGAGGCUGCUCAUCACACAGGUGCGGGGCCCAAUUGCACCCGACCAUUCCAGACAGACCCCAAUUUCUCUAGCCACCGACACCAGCUACGUCGCUUCUGCAGCUCAGAGCCGGCCCUGGGCCGCCCACGAGCCCCGGAGCUCGCUCUCAGACGCCAAGAUCCAAACGAUGUUGGCUACCCGACCCCCUCCCCCUCCCAGAACCAUUGUUUGGAUUCCACGGGCCUGAGGGACCUCAGUUUGGGGGAGGAGGCAGCCGUGCUAUUCACAAUCAGUCCUCUCCAAGCCAUGCAACCGGUUUCCAGAAAUGGGUAGUUAGGGGUGGGGGUGGGGGUGUCCAGGCCAUCCAGGGGCCCGCAGAGAACCAACUGGGGUGGGACGUGCUCCAGAAAUGACCAGGUGCCCACCACCUCUCUGACUAGGCCCAUCCUCCCUCCCCCCUCCAUUCCCUCACUCCAAUAAUUCCUCCAAGGGGAAGUGAGAAGCCACUCUCGCCAAGGCUCGGCUUCCCCUUGGCCGGGGACGCUCGCCGCUACUGCUUUUGGCCACAGCGUGGCAGCAGCGAGCCCCGAGCGAGUCGCCAUAAAUAAUCGCACCCCCCUUGCUGCAGUUGCAGGGGAGCAGACACCGCAGUGCCAUGCAAAUACAAUUCUUUAGCAGCCGACGGAGCACAAACAACGCCGGUGUUAACAUUAGGAGUGCGCGCGGCUCCUUCUGAAUUACGGUAAUGAAUACCAAGAUAAUCCCCAAGCCCCAGCCCCCCGCACCGCUGCUGGCUGAGGACUUUGCCUCUCCUCGCCUCCGCGGCUCGCAGACCCGGGGGCGCCCUGGACCACCGAAACACGCGUGCGGAUGUUCGCAAAUCGGUUACGAAAACAUAGCCCUCUCAGCCCUCCCCGGGUCUCGAUCUGUUUGCCUUUUGCCUGUGAACUCUACACACACACACACACACACACACACACACACACCCCUUUUUCUUUUUCUUUUUUUUUUUUUUUAAAACAUAAUCUCUUCCCCUUACAGUCAAGUACAAGUCCUCGGUCCUAAACUAAAAGAAAUUCGCUUAGGAUUCAAAAGGAGUAGCGAGCUUCCAGACUGUACUACACAGACACCCAGAGAUAUAAUACGGAGGUGGACACACAGUCACUCAACAACAGCCGUGGCCCCCAAACAUCCACGCUGCAGUAUCUGCUCCAAAGCACCCCAAAGCGCUCUCGGCCACGGUACAAACCGAACCAUUCGAAGAGAACCAUCUCCACCAGCAGCGAAACUUCCGCCAAUUAACACGUAAGCCUAGUCCCCCAAGUCCCCCAAAUUCCAAGCACAAAUCCAUUUCCUCUAUUCUCCCAUUUCAGACCUCUCUCCUGGAAAUCCCGUACCAAACGAGAAGCUGCUAAUGGCAAGAGGGUUCUCUCAGUUUGAAGGAACUCCAGUCAUUCUGACAGCUGUCGCUUCGGUUGCUGCUCGGGAGACGAAUCGCUCUCCUUUUGGUGCCAGAAGAAGCAGGAAAUUAGCCAGGU
Sarcophilus harrisii (Tasmanian devil) is the source of this 3846-nucleotide long non-coding RNA. RefSeq lists it as uncharacterized. The record is from RefSeq and is a predicted model, not a curated record. The transcript is spliced from 2 exons. NCBI's taxonomy places the organism in Eukaryota, Metazoa, Chordata, Mammalia, Dasyuromorphia, Dasyuridae.